This 486-nucleotide ribosomal RNA is filed under the name uncultured bacterium. RNAcentral describes it as "partial 16S ribosomal RNA". It matches the Rfam family "Bacterial small subunit ribosomal RNA", at positions 29 to 507 of the family's 1533-position model. The record is from RNAcentral.
AUGCACGCUAGCGAUCGGCUUCACCCAUGCAAGUCGAGGGGCAGCACAAGGUAGCUUGCUAUCUGGGUGGCGACCGGCGCACGGGUGCGUAACGCGUAUGCAACUUGCCCUAUACAGGAGGAUAACCCGUCGAAAGACGGACUAAUACUGCGUAUGCUCACAACUUGGCAUCAAGUGGUGAGGAAAGAAAUUCGGUAUAGGAUAGGCAUGCGUCCCAUUAGCUUGUUGGUGAGGUAACGGCUCACCAAGGCAACGAUGGGUAGGGGAACUGAGAGGUUUAUCCCCCACACUGGUACUGAGACACGGACCAGACUCCUACGGGAGGCAGCAGUGAGGAAUAGUGGUCAAUGGGCGCGAGCCUGAACCAGCCAAGUCGCGUGAAGGAUGACUGUCUUAUGGAUUGUAAACUUCUUUUAUACGGGAAUAACAAGAGUCACGGGUGACUCCCUGCAUGUACCGUAUGAAUAAGCAUCGGCCAACUCCGUG